This 141-nucleotide ribosomal RNA is filed under the name Clostridium botulinum C. RNAcentral describes it as "partial 16S ribosomal RNA". It matches the Rfam family "Bacterial small subunit ribosomal RNA", at positions 1 to 138 of the family's 1533-position model. The record is from RNAcentral. Lineage: Bacteria; Bacillati; Bacillota; Clostridia; Eubacteriales; Clostridiaceae.
UUUAAAUUGAGAGUUUGAUCCUGGCUCAGGACGAACGCUGGCGGCGUGCCUAACACAUGCAAGUCGAGCGAUGAAGCUUCCUUCGGGGAGGGGAUUAGCGGCGGACGGGUGAGUAACACGUGGGUAACCUGCCUCAAAGAG